This 637-nucleotide long non-coding RNA is filed under the name Pan troglodytes (chimpanzee). RNAcentral's name for it is "long non-coding RNA NONPTRT001258". The record is from RNAcentral. Lineage: Eukaryota; Metazoa; Chordata; Mammalia; Primates; Hominidae.
CCGUUCCGGAGAGCGCCGAGCCGCCAGGCAGCGGAGGAAGAGAGGAGGAGGACCCGGAGUCUCGCCGCGGGAGGGUGCCCAGGGCGAGGGCGUGCGAGGGGGAGUGACUCCGCGCGCGAGGGGCAGCAGCACCUGCUUGAGACCAAGCCCGGCGACCUGGCAAGGUGGGGCCCCCUACCGCGCAAUCUUUGCGGCUGGCCCCCGGCUCUCAGCUCCGAGUGCAGAGGCUGAAGAGAAUGUCAAUCACAUAUCCAGAAUAUCACCUCCUUGGGCACAGCCAGGGCAUGGUCCAUUGAAAAUGUUCCUGAUUGCUGGAAGCUGACGGCUCACCAUAAAAGCCAAAAUGGGGACCUGUCAAAAAUGUUUUAGCCAAACUAUGGCUUGGCUCAGGAAGAUGCCAAGACCAAAGGCUGCUGAACUUUAAGUAUAAACUUGCAUGAAAAGCACAUUGCAGAUCUGAGACAGUGGAGGCUUAGUGGUGAGAACAUGAGCUCUGGAUAGACCUGGCUUCAAGUCUUGGCUCUGUCAUUCACCAGCUGUGUGAAUUUGGGCAAACCACUUUUCUUCUCUGAUGCUCAGUUCCCUCACCUAGCAAAAUGGGUUAUAAUGAUGGCAUCAACUCAUAAGGUUCAUGAGG